Molecule: transfer RNA, 71 nt
Filed under: Camelus bactrianus (Bactrian camel)
Lineage: Eukaryota; Metazoa; Chordata; Mammalia; Artiodactyla; Camelidae
Also listed under: 2 other names
Rfam family: tRNA
About the family: Transfer RNA (tRNA) molecules are approximately 80 nucleotides in length.
Source: Rfam by way of RNAcentral
GAGGCUAUAGCUCAGUGGCAGAGUGUGUGCUUAGCAUGCACAAGGUCCUGGGUUCAAUCCCCAGUACCUCU